CGCAUGUGUAAAUAGGGAUAGUCCGCGCCUGUAGUUUUGAGACGGGCUGUCGUCUGUCAAUGUGGUGCUAAGGGCCGUCGUGACGUUUUGGGGCGUAUUCGGGGCUCCCUUGAGUCUAUUCGCCUAAUUCAGCCGAUUUAAAUAUUUUACCGGGUCGUGAUGUUGUUUUGCCCAGUUCUGCUGAUGUCGCAGCCCUGGCUGAGAGAACUCCACUUCCAAACAAUCACAAGUGAUCGCUUUUUGGCCGCCUAAUUUUAUGCAACUAGUAUUUCUCCAGUGUUUUGUCCUUUUGCCUAGAUUGCACUCUCGUUUUAGAGGUGGGGAGAUUUUUUUCAAAUUGUUACAGAAAAAAAUGUGGUUAAGUAAUGGGAAUUUCCGAUUUUCGGGUUUGUUUACCGUCGGCGUGAUUUGCGCAACAUGAACCCAGUUUUGUUGACAUUUUUUGCAAAAGGCUUGUUUUUGGUUUUUUUGUGAGAAAAAAACUGUAACAAUAUGAUGGCUGACGAGGAGGUGCUAUUUGAUGAGGUUUAUGAUUUGUGUGAGGAAAUUGGAAGAAGGACCAGCAGCAUUUGAAGAAAAAAUUGAAAUUGGAAAACUUUGAUUGAAAAAAAAUUGAGUUACGGUUGGAGGGUCGCCAUGCAGAGAAGAACAAUAUUUAGCCCGAUCUUGCAUAAGAAAUAUUUGAUAUCUGAAUUGAUUUGUUUUAUUCUACAUUAAGUGCAGUAAAUUGUUUUCAGAAAAAAUGUAAUUACUGUUGUUCAUUUAAAAGGUUGGAAAAAAUAAACAGACCAAUAGAAAACGUUCCAAUUA
Dendroctonus ponderosae (mountain pine beetle) is the source of this 810-nucleotide long non-coding RNA. RefSeq lists it as uncharacterized. The transcript is spliced from 2 exons. The record is from RefSeq and is a predicted model, not a curated record. Lineage: Eukaryota; Metazoa; Arthropoda; Insecta; Coleoptera; Curculionidae.